GUACUUGCUUCGGCAGUAUAUAUAUUAAAAUUGGAACGAUACAAAGAAGAUUAGCAUAGCACUUGCGCAAGAGUGAUACGCAAAAUCGUGAAGGUUCCAUAUUUUUU
Molecule: small nuclear RNA, 107 nt
Organism: Diorhabda sublineata
Lineage: Eukaryota; Metazoa; Arthropoda; Insecta; Coleoptera; Chrysomelidae
Source: RefSeq, a predicted model, not a curated record